UAAGUAAGGGGGCGGAAUGGUAGUGUCUGGUAUAUGACACCACCGCCCCUCCCCGUGUGCCUCGUGUGCGCUGCCUGCCAGCCCGCCUCGCACAGCUGCUGCCGCCAGAGGCGGAUGCCACCAGUCUCUACAGUGCCGAUGCCUGGCUACAGAUGCAUUUGCCGGUGUGGUGGUGGAGCUGGUUCUUUUGUUGUGGCGCAAAGGAUCUCUAUUAAAGCAUCAGCUUGGAGAAGAUGUGAAUUGAAGUUUGACACCCGUGGCACUACAAGUAGAUGAUUUUGAUACCAGGAUGACAAUUCACUGUAGCAACUGGCUCAGUUGCGGCCAAAGAUAGUAACUGUGAGGAACACAGACAACAUCAACAGCUGGGAAAGAGCAGUCUGUUGAAGAGCAUGCUGCCUGGAGGCCCACUCCCAUCAGUGUACAUGGUAUGGUAUAGCAGCUGGUGUUGUGAAUCAGGCCGUUGCCAAUCAGAGAACGGCUACUUCACAACACCAGGGUUGUAUCCUGCCACAGUCAACAGUCUGGGAGACAGCAUACAGAAAAAGAAGAUUCCUGAUACUUUCUUUCCACAUUGUCUUCUAUCCUAAAUUCCAAUCUUAGGUCCUUUAAAGUUGACCUAUGAAGUAGUGCAUUUACCAGGCAGAGACUGAAUUUUCUGUGAGGAAUACUGCAGCUAUAUUAUUUGCUCUAAUGUUAAGAGGGAGGUAGCUCUUAUCAAGUGAACGAAAAUAUUAGGUCAAAGAGACCCCCCUGUAUUCCUGGUGUGGUGUGAUUUGGGGAUUGUUGUCCUUGCAUAUGUACUAUUUGUUAUUGGCACAAUUCCAUCUAGUUAUCCAAUCAAUUAAUCUCUGUAACUAACUGAAUUUGUCAUAAAAGAAAACAAAGUUUAUGAGUGAUAAGAAAAUGUCAGGUGUUUUGUGUGCAAGUAGAAGCACCUUCUAAUAACUGAACACAGUUGUGCAGAACUAAUAAAUACCACACGGGCACAGCUGCUAUUGUAAUUUACAGUGCUUGGAAAUCACCAACAAAUGUGCUACACUUCCUAUAUGAACGCAGGGCACACAACAUAUCCACCAUCCCCUCUGAGCUAUUUUGUCGUAGGAGAGAAAGAUAUAAGAACCUAUAUCGGGGGAGAGGGAAGGGGGGAAUAAAGUUUCUGUUAAUUGAGACAGUAAUGUAGCAGUGAAAUGGUUGCUACUGGAAGAUGUAAGGUUGGGGCGUACUACUGGGUGUCAGCAAUUAGACUGUAAUAAUCUAAUACAUUAAAGUGGUGUUAAUUUGGCAUGCUGAAGUUGCCCACCCUUUCUUAGACUCGGGGGGAACUUUUCACUGAUUGUUUUCCUUCCUCUGUCCUUUUCUGCAGAUAAAGUUAAAAACGUUUUUGAAAGAUUUAGAACAAUUAUCAUUAUUCUAGCACCAAAAAAAGUAGAGUUCUCAAACAUUUCUAGCACAAAUGCCCAUAGCCAUGAGCAGAGGCCUGGGCUGUGGUAGCCCCUCCUCUACCCUUCUUUGUGUUCCACAGGAAGUCUCCCUCCCACCCCUUAUUUAUUGUGCUUCAUGCAGAUUCCAGAGCAUCAGAGGAAGCUGUAUCUGGUAUUCAGCUUCCCAGGUUCCUUUGACUCCCUCGAGCGAUUACUACUGAACCUGUAUGUGAACAGCAGAUAGAACCUCCUCCACUGCCUCGCAACCUGCAUGGAGCAUAUAAAAGCUGAAGCUCAGUAUUCUUCCCCAGCUGCCAUGGCUCCAGUCACCAGUCCUCAUAUCCCCCUCUCUGGAGGUCUCCUCUGCUCACUUGCUGUUGCCAGUUCUUCCUUUCCUCCCUGCUUGACUCUUCACCACAUACAGUCCCCACCUCUCCGCUUGCCUUCGGCUGCAUGGGUUUCCUCUUCAUUGCUUCCAUCUUGCCACUGCUCACUUGAGAUCCGCCUCUCUGCUCCCCACUUACUCUCAGCCCCCCUGCCAUUUGCCACAGACCCCUUCUCCUCAUUCAGCGCACCCCCUGCUAGCUGCAGGUGGGUUUCAGACAGGGGAGGUGAGUGGGGAGGCACGGGGAGAAGAGGAGGGAGGUACUCAGCCAAGAGUGCAAACAGUAGGUUGCCAAGCCUGGGGGGGUGGGAGGCCGAGGGACACUUCCAGCAAGCCAAGUGGGAGCAUGGCCUGGAAUGAAGCAGGGGUGAAGUGUGGGUGUAGCUGGGGCUAUGGAGAGGGGUGGAGCUUUCCUAAGCAGAAGCUUCAUUCACUGCUCAUGCCCAUAGCCUACUUCUGCUUUACACAAUCCUGAAUGGAAUGAGCCAGAUUCUUGGCUGCCAUAACUGGGCAUAGAGCCAGUAAAUUCAUUUGAGCUACUUCAGAGACGUUGUACUGGGGUAGACCCUCAGCCCUUGUAAAUUGGUCUGCAAAAGGGGCAAUGGAGCACUUGUGCCCUUUUAUUACUUUGAUGGGUAAAGACUUGAAGUGUUUCUUUCAAAAAAUCUGGGGAGCUAAGGAAGAGGGGGAUUGUCUGCUUGAGUUUUUUUGUUUUUACAUGAGGUGUUUAGGCUUUCCCCAUUGUGGGAGACUCUGUGGUGACAAGAAAGAAAGUGAAAUAAUUAUGACCUCACCAGAGACUGUUUUGUUUGUUAACUCCAGUGUGUAAUAAAUACUUUGAAAAUAAGUCUUUUUUUGUAAUCUGUUCCCCAUACUAUCAGUUGAUAUGUAGGAAUAAAUAGAAAACCCAUAAAGUCCUUGCCUUAGACGCAACCAGUCAUCUCAGUAAGUAUUGAAUACUUCUAAUAGCAGAUGCAGAAAGGGCAAAAUAAAGACAGAGUAGAUCAGGAAAUUUAGCACAAAGGUGGGACUUUCAAAUGCAUUUAGUGUUGGCCUAGUUCUAAUUCUGUUGAAGACAGGCCAAAGUUGGACACUUUUGAAAAUCCUAUCCUUUGAUGCAUAAUUUUUGGUAGUGGAGCAGGGGGAAGGGAGUGAGUAGUGGAAAGUGAAAUAAAGGUAGGAGGGACUUAGCAUGACACACUGGAUUAUGUAUCGUGUUCCAGGUAUGGAUCAGCAUUGAAAAUUCCUGGCAAUGUGAGCACAAGAUGAUAAAGGCUCAGAAAGGAAAGAAGAGUUGGAAAUGCAUAGAAUAGAGAGCAUAUCUACACAGUAGCAUGAACAUUAUGUCCCACAAGGUUCCAGCUGUGUGUGUUACAAUCAGACAAAAUAUUUGGUGCAGGUCAGGUGCCAGCUCUUGCCAUGGCUGUAGGCCUCAGCUGAGCACUGGCAAAUUCAUUGCUGGAAACAAGUCAGUUUUUCCUGUGUGUUAGUAUGGUUAAGAUGGAUGUUGAACUUAUGUGUUUAGACUUUAUGAAUUGCUUGUAAGAUGCUGCAUAUACAUUAACCUCACUUACAAUAUGUUCAUCACAUGCUACAAGGUAAUAUUUGUAUUUUUGCUUUAUAACUAAAAACAUUUCCUCUAUAAGGCUACGUCUACAUUGGCAUGAUCUUGCGCAAAAGCAGCCACUUUUGUGCAAAAACUUGCUGCCUGUCUCC
This is a long non-coding RNA of Pelodiscus sinensis (Chinese soft-shelled turtle), 3525 nucleotides long. RefSeq lists it as uncharacterized. The record is from RefSeq and is a predicted model, not a curated record. NCBI's taxonomy places the organism in Eukaryota, Metazoa, Chordata, Testudines, Trionychidae.